GGGAUGCCAAAUAUUGCGUAAAGGAUGCAGAAAAUCUUGCCGCCCUCGGUCCUGGGGGCGAUGUUUCCAUAGCCUGUAGAUAUCCAGAGGGAGACAAUUGGUGGCUUCCAGCGAGAGAACAUGGCAGUAAUUACAGACUGCUGAACAAAAGAGAAGUUAAGACAAGGACAGACUAAGCAAUUUCAGUCAGAGAUCUGGGCUGAAAGCCUUGUGCAGUCACACUCUCGGAGGCUGCUUUAAUUGACCUAUGGUGGUGAUGACGGUUCCAGCGAAGAAGAACGCGCUGCUGAGGUCCCAGUGGCUGGAGUUAUUGGACGUGUCUCCAAUGGGACUCACCCCAG
Molecule: long non-coding RNA, 341 nt
Organism: Puntigrus tetrazona (Sumatra barb)
Lineage: Eukaryota; Metazoa; Chordata; Actinopteri; Cypriniformes; Cyprinidae
Exons: 3
Source: RefSeq, a predicted model, not a curated record